CUACGGGCCGCUCCAGUGGGGAAUAUUGGACAAUGGGGGAAACCCUGAUCCAGCAAUGCCGCGUGUGUGAAGAAGGCCUGCGGGUUGUAAAGCACUUUCGGUUGGGAGGACUGCUUCUAGCACUAAUAUUGUUGGAAGUUGACGUUACCUUCAGAAGAAGCACCGGCUAACUCCGUGCCAGCAGCCGCGGGAAUACGGAGGGUGCAAGCGUUAAUCGGAAUUACUGGGCGUAAAGCGCGCGUAGGCGGCUAGAUCAGUCGGGUGUGAAAGCCCCGGGCUUAACCUGGGAACUGCAUCCGAUACUGUCGAGCUUGAGUACAGGAGAGGAGAGUGGAAUUCCACAUGUAGCAGUGAAAUGCGUAGAUAUGUGGAGGAACACCAAUGGCGAAGGCAGCUCUCUGGCCUGAUACUGACGCUGAGGUGCGAAAGCGUGGGGAGCAGACAGGAUUAGAUACCCGGGUAGUC
RNAcentral lists this ribosomal RNA (465 nucleotides) under uncultured bacterium. RNAcentral describes it as "partial 16S ribosomal RNA". It matches the Rfam family "Bacterial small subunit ribosomal RNA", at positions 339 to 795 of the family's 1533-position model. The record is from RNAcentral.